This is an RNA transcript of Ictalurus punctatus (channel catfish), 1614 nucleotides long. It is a transcript of the gene named lactamase, beta 2, with no coding region annotated. Lineage: Eukaryota; Metazoa; Chordata; Actinopteri; Siluriformes; Ictaluridae. The record is from RefSeq and is a predicted model, not a curated record. The transcript is spliced from 3 exons.
UUUUAUAGCCUCACAUAUAUCUUAAUAUCUCUAUAGUCUAAUUGCACUUUCUUUUCAUAUUCAUUUUACAUUGUGUGCAUAACAUAACAAAGCUAAUUCCCUCAGGUUCUCUAGGUAAAUUUACGUUAGAAGUUUUGUAAAGUUCCAUUUUGACAUACUAAAACAGGGGUGUCCAAUCUUGUCCGGAAAGGGCCGGUGUGGGUGCAGGUUUUCAUUCUAACCAAGCAGAAGCCAUAUAUACAUACGUGAAACCUAAGUGAAAAUGUCCAAAUUAGGCCCAAUUAGCCAUUUUCCCUCCCCGGUGUCAUGUGACUUGUUAGUGUUACAAGGUCUCAGGUGUGAAUGGGGAGCAGGUGUGUUAAAUUUGGUAACAUCACUCUCACACUCCCUCACACUGGAAGUUCAACAUGGCACCUCAUGGCAAAGAACUCUCUGAGGAUCUGAAAAAAAAGAAUUGUUGCUCUACAUAAAGAUGGCCUAGGCUAUAAGAAGAUUGCCAAGACCCUGACACUGAGCUGCAGCACCGUGGCCAAGACCAUACAGCGGUUUAACAGGACAGGUUCCACUCGGAACAGGCCUCGCCAUGGUCGACCAAAGAUGUUGAGUGCACGUGCUCAGCGUCAUAUCCAGAGGUUGUCUUUGGGAAAUAGACAUAUGACUGCCAGCAUUUCUGCAGAGGUUGAAGGGGUGGGGGGUCAGCCUGUCAGUGCUCAGACCAUACGCCGCACACUGCAUCAAAUUGGUCUGCAUGGCUGUCGUCCCAGAAGGAAGCCUCUUCUAAAGAUGAUGCACAAGAAAUCUCAAACUGCUGAAGACAAGCAGACUAAAGACAUGGAUUACUGGAAACAUGUCCUGUGGUCUUAUGAGACCAAGAUAAACUUAUUUGGUUCAGAUGGUGUCAAGCAUGUGUGGUGGCAACCAGGUGAGGAGUACAAAGACAAGUGUGUCUUGCCUACAGUCAAGCAUGGUGAUGGGAGUGUCAUGGUCUGGGGCUGCAUGAGUGCUGCCGGCACUGGGGAGCUACAGUUCAUUGAGGGUACCAUGAAUGCCAACAUGUACUGUGAUAUACUGAAGCAGAAACUGGGCCGCAGGGCAAUAUUCCAUGAUAAUGACCCCAAACACACCUCCAAGACGACCACUGCAUUGCUAAAGAAGCUGAGGGUGAAGGUGAUGGACUGGCCAAGCAUGUCUCCAGACCUAAACCCUAUUGAGCAUCUGUGGGGCAUCCUCAAACGGAUGGUGGAGCAGCACAAGGUCUCUAACAUCCACCAGCUCCGUGAUGUCAUGGAGGAGUGGAAGAGGACUCCCGUGGCAACCUGUGAAGCUCUGGUGUACUCCAUGCCUAAGAGGGUUAAGGCAGUGCUGGAAAAUAAAGCUAGAGACAAUUGGAGAUGAUAAGAGGAAAUACACAUACCUUAAGGAUGGUGAUGUUAUUAAGACUGAUGGAGCCACAUUACGGUAUGUCACAUAAGAGGAACAAUGGUUUUGUUCACCCCAGGCCACACUGAUGACCAUAUGGCUCUGUAUCUGGAGGAGGAGGGAGCACUGUUCUCUGGAGACUGCAUUCUGGGGGAAGGGACAGCUGUGUUUGAGGACCUACAUGAUUACAUGCUC